UUUUUUUUUUUUUUUUUUUUUUUUUUUUUUUUUUUUUUUUUGUUAUUCAAUAAUAAAACAUUAUAGUAACCUAACUAUGUAGUAAUAUAGUAAUAUAGUAAUAUAAUAAUAUAAUAAUAGAAUUAGAUAAUAAUUAGUCAUGUUCGUUUUUAAUAUAUGAUAAUAUAUGAUAACUUGGCUCGUUAUUAAUUUAAAACAGCUAACAACAUGACUCGUUUGUGAAUAAUAUAAAAUAAUUUUGAAAGUUUUGCGUUUGUUUUUUUUUUUUUUUUUUUUUUUUUUUUAAAUAUGAAUUACUGCGUCUGGGAACUUAUAAGCAUUGAAAAGUCUUUUUUAAAAGAAGGUGUAAGAUUAAAAAAAUUAAGGAGUGUUAGCUCGGAAUUUAGUGAUUUGAAUUACUCGAAUAGCUUUGACUUAAAAAACGAAAAAGUAGAUUAUGAUUAUUCUGAAGAACUGCCUGAUAGUACUAUAAAAAAAAAUUUGGAUACUAAGCUAAAGUUUGAACAAAUUAAAGACAAAUUUUUUAUUACUGACAUUUCGAAAUAUGUGAAAGCUUAUGUUAAAAAAAGUGACAGCAAUAUAAGAGAGAUAGGAAUAACAUCAAAGAAAGAUAUGAAAACGGAAGAAGAAAGAUAUUGGAUAAAUAGCUAUAUUUAUAAUUUUAUAAGCCAGUCAUUGAUUACUUAUGACCACUGCAAACAUUAUAUAGUUAUUAACAAAUGUGAAAAUAUAAUUCAAGAACUAAAUGGAACAGGUUAUGGAUACUAUGGAAUUUAUUUUAGUGAUGGGAAAAAAAUUGGUGGACUUGGGAAUUUAUUUAUAAACAUAAAACAAGUAAGACAUAUAAAUACUAACAUUAUGAAGACAUUACAAACAAAACUAAUAUCAGAUAAAUCGGGAUCAAAUAAUGAAGAGUUCUGUAGUUUUGUUAAUUUAUUAUAAGUAUUGCAGUCUGUUAAAUUCAACCUUAGUUCUUUUUUAAAAUAUCUAUUUGUAUAUGAAAUAUUAUUUUGAUAAUAUUUUUUUCAACAAAAAAAUAUAAAUAAAAUAAAUAAAUAAGGUAAAAUGUGAUAAAAA
Molecule: long non-coding RNA, 1077 nt
Filed under: Piliocolobus tephrosceles (Ugandan red Colobus)
Lineage: Eukaryota; Metazoa; Chordata; Mammalia; Primates; Cercopithecidae
Description: lncRNA (ENSPTEG00000014360.1)
Source: RNAcentral